UCUUUAUGACUCUGUUUGGGGUUAUCUUGGCAGAGAUGCUAGAGUGGUUUGACAUUUCCUUCUCCAGCUUAUUUUGCAAAUGAACAAAGUUAAUUGACUUACCUAGAGUCAUACAGUUAGUGUUUGAGGCUGGAUUUGAACUCAUGAAGUCUUCUUGACUUCAGACCUGUUGCUUUAUCAACUGUGCCAACCAGCUGCCUGCAUUUGUGUCACAUAAUCAUAACAUAUUGGUUUAGUUCAUUUUUUCCUUUCUUCUAUUUUCACAUAAUUUUUGUUACCCAGUUCUCCUCUGACAAUGCCAACACCAUGAUGCAAGUUCUCAACAUCUCACAUCUGUCUACUACAAUAUCCUGCCAGAUCAUCUCCCCAUGUAUGCCAAAAAGAAAAUGAUCGUUUGCCUUGUGACGAAUUUGGACAACGGUGUCCCCCGAUUUUCUGGUCUAAGAGGAAGCUUAAUCCAAUUUCUUCUUGCAGAUGAGAAAGUAAGUACUCUGAUGACAUUUUGCCUAUGUAGCUUCAUUCUUCACUCAGUCACACUCAGUACUGUGUGAAUGAAAGGCCACAGAGUCAUAGGUAUAGUGGUUCCUUUGUGAAUUCAGCACAGUUCUGGUUGGAUUGUCACUACGUAAAAAGAACUGACAUCCCAGUGCAUUGUAUGUCUGCAGAUAGAGGUCUGCAAAGUAGCAAAUUUAUCCUGUGAAUCUAUAGAAAGUGGGGUUGAUUUUGAUGUGAAGCUUGAGAGAGAGAUAGAGACAGAGGAAAAAAGAGAGAUAAAGAGAGAAAAAGGGAAGGAAGGUGGAAGGAUAACAUAUGUGGAGAAUGUGUUUGUGUAUGGGCAUUUAUUAUACAUAUGCACAUACCUAUAUACAUGUAUGUAUUAUAUAUAAACCCAUAUACAUAUAUAUAUCCAUCCAUGUACAUGUCUAUGUGAACCAAUGAUUAUUUUCUUCUAAUAACCAAGAAAUCACAUUCGAAACAUAUUUAUGCCAGUCAGUCAGCUGCUAAGUAUUUACAAAGUACCUACUGUGUGCCAGGCACUGUGCUAAGAGCUGGGGAUAAAAAGAAAGAUGGAAAAAAAGUUCCUUCUCUCAAAGGAAUUCACACUCUAACAAGUCAGUACCAACAAGAUAAAAACAGGAAAAAUUGGAGAUAACUGACAGAGGCCACUAGCAUUAAGGGGGUUCAGGAAAUCAUCCAUAUAUUCUCCUGUACUUUAUUUGGGGAGAAUGGGCAGACACCAAAGCACUCCUAAAAUAGUUAUCUUCUGUUUCAGGGACAUACAUAAAUUUGAUUCUAUUCAAUAAAUAUGUUUUCAGUGCCA
RNAcentral lists this long non-coding RNA (1321 nucleotides) under Monodelphis domestica (gray short-tailed opossum). Its description in RNAcentral is "lncRNA (ENSMODG00000046530.1)". Lineage: Eukaryota; Metazoa; Chordata; Mammalia; Didelphimorphia; Didelphidae. The record is from RNAcentral.